UACGUAGGUGGCAAGCGUUGUCCGGAAUUAUUUGGCGUAAAGCGCGCGCAGGCGGCCUCGUAAGCCGGAUGUUAAAGCCCCCGGCGCAACCGGGGAGGGCCAUUGGAAACUGGGAGGGUUGAGUAUAGGAGAGAAGAGUGGAAUUCCACGUGUAGCGGUGAAAUGCGUAGAGAUGUGGAGGAACACAAGUGGCGAAGGCGACUCUUUGGCCUAUAACUGCCGCUGAGGCGCGAAAGCGUGGGGAGCAAACAGG
This 253-nucleotide unclassified non-coding RNA is filed under the name uncultured Caryophanales bacterium. Its description in RNAcentral is "uncultured Bacillales bacterium contains 16S-23S intergenic spacer region". It matches the Rfam family "Bacterial small subunit ribosomal RNA", at positions 524 to 776 of the family's 1533-position model. The record is from RNAcentral. Lineage: Bacteria; Bacillati; Bacillota; Bacilli; Caryophanales.